UACGUAGGUGGCAAGCGUUGUCCGGAUUUAUUGGGUUUAAAGGGUGCGUGGGCGGCUUGAUAAGUCAGUGGUGAAAGCCGAUCGCUUAACGAUCGAACUGCCAUUGAUACUGCCAGGCUUGAGUAUAGUUGAGGUAGGCGGAAUUGACAGUGUAGCGGUGAAAUGCAUAGAUAUUGUCAAGAACACCAAUUGCGAAGGCAGCUUACUAAAGUUUAACUGACGUUGAGGCACGAAAGUGCGGGGAUCAAACAGG
RNAcentral lists this ribosomal RNA (253 nucleotides) under uncultured bacterium. RNAcentral describes it as "partial 16S ribosomal RNA". It matches the Rfam family "Bacterial small subunit ribosomal RNA", at positions 524 to 776 of the family's 1533-position model. The record is from RNAcentral.